Molecule: ribosomal RNA, 427 nt
Filed under: uncultured beta proteobacterium
Lineage: Bacteria; Pseudomonadati; Pseudomonadota; Betaproteobacteria
Description: bacterial SSU rRNA
Rfam family: Bacterial small subunit ribosomal RNA
Source: RNAcentral
GGGGAAUAUUGCGCAAUGCGGGAAACCCUGACGCAGCGACGCCGUGUGAGGGAAGAAGGCUUUCGGGUUGUAAAGCUCUUUCGGACGGAAAGAAAUCGCCGCCUCUAACAUAGUCGGUGGAUGACGGUACCGUAAGAAGAAGCACCGGAUCACUACGUGCCAGCAGCCGCGGUAAUACGUAGGGUGCGAGCGUUAAUCGGAAUUACUGGGCGUAAAGCGUGCGCAGGCGGUUUGGGUAAGACAGGUGUGAAAUCCCCGGGCUUAACCUGGGAACUGCGCUUGUGACUGCCAGGCUAGAGUACGGCAGAGGGGGGUGGAAUUCCACGUGUAGCAGUGAAAUGCGUAGAGAUGUGGAGGAACACCGAUGGCGAAGGCAGCCCCCUGGGCCUGUACUGACGCUCAUGCACGAAAGCGUGGGGAGCAAACA